UUACGCGCGAGCGGCCUCCGGACCGCUUGCCUUUUCCGGGA
RNAcentral lists this small RNA (41 nucleotides) under Sinorhizobium meliloti 2011. RNAcentral's name for it is "putative ncRNA". Lineage: Bacteria; Pseudomonadati; Pseudomonadota; Alphaproteobacteria; Hyphomicrobiales; Rhizobiaceae. The record is from RNAcentral.